This 479-nucleotide ribosomal RNA is filed under the name uncultured bacterium. Its description in RNAcentral is "partial 16S ribosomal RNA". It matches the Rfam family "Bacterial small subunit ribosomal RNA", at positions 28 to 523 of the family's 1533-position model. The record is from RNAcentral.
GACGAACGCUGGCGGCGUGCUUAACACAUGCAAGUCGAACGCUGAAGCCCGUUCGGGGGUGGAUGAGUGGCGAACGGGGGAGUAACACGUGGGUAAUCUGCCCUGCACUCUGGGAUAAGCCUUGGAAACGGGGUCUAAUACCGGAUAGGACACAUCGCCGCAUGGGGUGUGUGGAAAGUGCCGGCGGUGCAGGUUGAGCCCGCGGCCUAUCAGCUUGUUGGUGGGGUGAUGGCCUACCAAGGCGACGACGGGUAGCCGGCCUGAGAGGGUGACCGGCCACACUGGGACUGAGACACGGCCCAGACUCCUACGGGAGGCAGCAGUGGGGAAUCUUGCGCAAUGGGCGAAAGCCUGAUGCAGCAACGCCGCGUGGGGGAUGACGGCCUUCGGGUUGUAAACCUCUUUCGACCGGGACGAAGGGUGACUGACGGUACCGGUAGAAGAAGCACCGGCUAACUACGUGCCAGCCGCCGCAGUAA